UACGUAGGGUGCAGGCGUUAAUCGGAAUUACUGGGCGUAAAGCGUGCGCAGGCGGCUCCUUAAGUCAGAUGUGAAAUCCCCGGGCUUAACCUGGGAACUGCGUUUGAAACUGAGGAGCUCGGGUGUGGAAGAGGGGGGUGGAAUUCCAGGUGUAGCAGUGAAAUGCGUAGAGAUCUGGAGGAACACCGAUGGCGAAGGCAGCCCCCUGGGCUAACACUGACGCUCAUGCACGAAAGCCAGGGGAGCAAACGGG
This 253-nucleotide ribosomal RNA is filed under the name uncultured bacterium. RNAcentral's name for it is "partial 16S ribosomal RNA". It matches the Rfam family "Bacterial small subunit ribosomal RNA", at positions 524 to 776 of the family's 1533-position model. The record is from RNAcentral.